GAUGAACGCUGGCGGCGUGCCUAAUACAUGCAAGUAGAACGCUGAAGGAGGAGCUUGCUCUUCUGGAUGAGUUGCGAACGGGUGAGUAACGCGUAGGUAACCUGCCUGGUAGCGGGGGAUAACUAUUGGAAACGAUAGCUAAUACCGCAUGACAACAGUUAUUGCAUGAUAACUGUUUAAAAGGGGCAACUGCUCCACUACCAGAUGGACCUGCGUUGUAUUAGCUAGUUGGUGAGGUAACGGCUCACCAAGGCGACGAUACAUAGCCGACCUGAGAGGGUGAUCGGCCACACUGGGACUGAGACACGGCCCAGACUCCUACGGGAGGCAGCAGUAGGGAAUCUUCGGCAAUGGACGGAAGUCUGACCGAGCAACGCCGCGUGAGUGAAGAAGGUUGUCGGAUCGUAAAGCUCGGUUGUAAGAGAAGAACGAGUGUGAGGGUGGAAAGUUCACACUGUGACGGUAUCUUACCAGAAAGGGACGGCUAACUACGUG
This 495-nucleotide ribosomal RNA is filed under the name uncultured bacterium. RNAcentral's name for it is "partial 16S ribosomal RNA". It matches the Rfam family "Bacterial small subunit ribosomal RNA", at positions 28 to 507 of the family's 1533-position model. The record is from RNAcentral.